Sinocyclocheilus grahami is the source of this 232-nucleotide long non-coding RNA. RefSeq lists it as uncharacterized. The record is from RefSeq and is a predicted model, not a curated record. The transcript has 3 exons. NCBI's taxonomy places the organism in Eukaryota, Metazoa, Chordata, Actinopteri, Cypriniformes, Cyprinidae.
GAGAUGAAAGACCAAACUCAUCACAGGAGAGUGAACGAGUAAAUCUGUCUGUUAAUGCAGCUUCAUCUUCUCUUCUGGUCACUGGUGUGGUUGUGGGAUUGAGUGUUUGUCUGUUGUUCUUCCUCUCACUGCUGCUGAUGUGGAGAUACAAGAAGAACAAAGAUCAGCAGCGUAACAUUAACCAGACAUCAGUCCCAAAUCAAUCUGCACAAUCUCAACUGGAAAACUCUCC